This is a long non-coding RNA of Neofelis nebulosa (Clouded leopard), 616 nucleotides long. RefSeq lists it as uncharacterized. The record is from RefSeq and is a predicted model, not a curated record. The transcript has 2 exons. Lineage: Eukaryota; Metazoa; Chordata; Mammalia; Carnivora; Felidae.
GGAGGCUGGGAGAGUUGUCAGAUCAUGAUUUAAAUCAGACUCUGAGUGGAGGAGAGAGGGGAGCAUGGUUGGGGAGAAACGUUCCUGACCAUGCUGCAGUCUAAGGAAGGUUCGGCAGGGCCAUCAGAGUCCUUGAGCCAAAGAAGCCAACCAGGAGAGUCCCACGUGUCCUAGGACCGGGUCUGCCUUACCGAGUACAUCUCUGCUGUACUCAGGAACUGACUAGAAGGAGUUUUAGGGAAAUCAAGCCUCAGCAUAAACAUGGUGAUGGAUUUCAGCCUGCCCUUGGUCAGUUUUUCUUUCUGUUAUUGGAGGUCUGUGGGACACAUUCUUAGAAUCACCAUAGAUGCCAUUGUCACUCACAUUUUACAGAGCGGGCAGAAUUCCAGAAAAAUUCCAGGGUCUGCCUGAACUCACAAAGCAGGAUGAAAAUCCAUCUUUUGAUUCUCUUUCAAGCUUGUUACGUGAUAUAGAUCCUAAAUCCAGAGGUGGAGUUUGAAGGAUUCUUAGGGCAUUUGGAUGUAACAUCCCAGAGAUAGGAGGACUUUUUGGAAGAACAUUUUGUAAACAGUAAAGGGUUGUGCAAAGAUAGGGGAAAUGCCAUUGUGAGGAUGAC